ACACACACACACAUACAUACACACAUUCUCUCUCUCUCUCUCUCUCCCUCUCGUUGUCUCUCUAACAUUCUAUAAGUUUUAUAUCGUCGAACAUGACAAAACAUUAUUAUCACUAUUACUAUUAUUAUCAUUAUCAUCAUUAUUAAUAUUCUUAAAAUGUAUUAGGUUAACGAAUGAGAAGAAGAAACAAGUCGUAUAGUUUAGUCGAGAUCGACCGGGGCCGUGUUUUUCAUUGAGAACGCACUCUCUUCUCUCUCUUUCUCCCACCUCCCACCCCAUCUCUCUCCUUCUCUCUCUCUCUCUCUCUCUGGUACAGGAGGAGGAGGAGGAGGAAAAGGAGGAUUAUGAGAAGGAAGAAGGAGGUGAAGACUAGGAGAUUAGUAACGUUGGAUUGUACGCGAUAAAGGAGCCGUUGGAAGACAACGACUCGUCAACGGAAAAAGAGAGAAAGAAAAAGAGAGAGAAAGGGAGAGAGAGAGAGAGAGAGAAAAGUGGUAGUGGUACUGGUGAUGGUGCUGCUGUUGCUGGUUGAAGAGGAGUAGAAGGAGAAAGAGAGAGAGAGAGAGAGAGAGAGAGAAAGAGAGAGAGAGAGAGGGUAACACGCUCGAGGAAGUUGCCUGGAUACGGGGGCAGCGGCGGUGGCACCGUGUUGCGCCCUCGUUGAAGGAGGAGGUGGAGGGAAGCAAAGAGAGAAGGAAAGGGAGAGAAAGAGAGAGAGAGAGAGAGAGAGAGACAUCUAUAUAUAUAUAUAUAUAUACAUAUAUAUAUAGAGAGAGAGAGGGAGAGAGCGAGAGAGAAGUGCGCGCGCGCGCGCGCAACCGAGUGGCCGGCCGAGCGAGAACGCACAUAGAGUACGCCGCGUACGGAUUGGAAUGGAACGCGUCGCGGACCACGGCGAAGGAAGUGUUGGAGCGAAAGAGAGAGAGAGAAAGAGAGCGAGAGAGAUAGAUAGGGAGAGGGAAAGAGAGAAAGAGAGAGAGAUAGCUGAGUGACAGAAAAUAAAAGUGAACGAAGAGGAUUCGUGUUAUGGAAGAGAAACGCGAAACGGCAGGAUCAAUCGUGUGGAUAACGAACGAAAUGAUGUCCUUCUUAAUAAGGAAGGAUCGUGUCGGCGACACCUGUGUAUUUUGUGCGCUAUCAUAGUACGAGGGAGAUUAAUUGAUUCGUCCCUUCGAUUUACUAAACAAAAAAAUAUCUCCGGUGCUCUGGGGUCUUUCUUGCGAUAACUGCGAGACGCGAGAGCGUGGAGGGAAGAAAAGAAAAAUGAUUGAAUCGUGGAGGAAGUAUCAUUGGAGAGGAACAACUACGGCAACGAGAAAAACUAAAACAGCGUAGCGGUCGACGGGUUAGCGAUCGCUCGAAGAGGAAGAAGAAGAAGAGGAAGAGGAAGAAGAAGAAGAAGAAGAAG
Molecule: long non-coding RNA, 1408 nt
Organism: Vespa crabro (European hornet)
Lineage: Eukaryota; Metazoa; Arthropoda; Insecta; Hymenoptera; Vespidae
Exons: 3
Source: RefSeq, a predicted model, not a curated record